Molecule: ribosomal RNA, 616 nt
Filed under: uncultured bacterium
Lineage: Bacteria
Description: bacterial SSU rRNA
Rfam family: Bacterial small subunit ribosomal RNA (bases 1-533)
Source: RNAcentral
CCUACGGGAGGCAGCAGUGGGGAAUUUUGGACAAUGGGCGCAAGCCUGAUCCAGCAAUGCCGCGUGAGUGAAGAAGGCCUUCGGGUUGUAAAGCUCUUUUGUCAGGGAAGAAACGGUUCGGGUUAAUACCUUGGGCUAAUGACGGUACCUGAAGAAUAAGCACCGGCUAACUACGUGCCAGCAGCCGCGGUAAUACGUAGGGUGCAAGCGUUAAUCGGAAUUACUGGGCGUAAAGCGUGCGCAGGCGGUUGUGCAAGACAGAUGUGAAAUCCCCGGGCUCAACCUGGGAAUUGCAUUUGUGACUGUACGGCUAGAGUGUGUCAGAGGGGGGUAGAAUUCCACGUGUAGCAGUGAAAUGCGUAGAGAUGUGGAGGAAUACCGAUGGCGAAGGCAGCCCCCUGGGAUAACACUGACGCUCAUGCACGAAAGCGUGGGGAGCAAACAGGAUUAGAUACCCUGGUAGUCCACGCCCUAAACGAUGUCUACUAGUUGUCGGUCUUAUGAUAGUACGCANCACGCGUGAGUAGACCGCCGUCGGGAGGUACGGUCGCGAGAGUAAACUACGAAGAAGUAGACGGCGUGAGACGUAGCCGACGGACGACGACGAGGGAGGAGG